AGCAAUUUUCCAGUGUAAGGAUGGCCUUAACCUAAGAAUGACUUUAGCCUAAGUAACUCCAUUUUAAAAUAAACCUGGAGUUCCACCAGGCACAGCCUACAGAGCCCUCCAAUAUUGUCAUCAGGCAUAGCCUGAUAAAAUAAGUCACUUACCACAACCCUGAUAAAACUCAGAGUUAAGUCAUUGUCAUUUGCCUUUGCCCUGAUAAGAGUCAGAGGUGAGAGGUCAGGGUAGAAACCAGCAGACCAGAUGUCCUGACCCUAGAAUGCAAGAUGUCACUAAGAAACCUGAUAGGGACUGAAAGGGCGAGCAGAAGCCUCAAAAUUUAGUAUAAAUGAUGGAGCAAAUGAACAGACAUUCAGCCAGCUGACCCUGAUGCCCACAUGCCAGAGAGCCUGAGGAGGACCUGGACUGACAUCCCAACUCUUCUCAUCAUCUGCCUGAUCCUCUGCAUCUUCCUC
This 461-nucleotide long non-coding RNA is filed under the name Marmota monax (woodchuck). Lineage: Eukaryota; Metazoa; Chordata; Mammalia; Rodentia; Sciuridae. The record is from RNAcentral.